RNAcentral lists this ribosomal RNA (471 nucleotides) under uncultured bacterium. RNAcentral's name for it is "bacterial SSU rRNA". It matches the Rfam family "Bacterial small subunit ribosomal RNA", at positions 40 to 507 of the family's 1533-position model. The record is from RNAcentral.
CGGCAUGCCUUACACAUGCAAGUCAACGGCAGCACGGGAGCAAUCCUGGUGGCGAGUGGCGAACGGGUGAGUAAUAUAUCGGAACGUGCCCAGUCGUGGGGGAUAACGUAGCGAAAGCUACGCUAAUACCGCAUACGAUCUAUGGAUGAAANCGGGGGAUCGCAAGACCUCGCGCGAUUGGAGCGGCCGAUAUCAGAUUAGGUAGUUGGUGAGGUAAAGGCUCACCAAGCCGACGAUCUGUAGCUGGUCUGAGAGGACGACCAGCCACACUGGGACUGAGACACGGCCCAGACUCCUACGGGAGGCAGCAGUGGGGAAUUUUGGACAAUGGGCGCAAGCCUGAUCCAGCAAUGCCGUGUGCAGGAUGAAGGCCUUCGGGUUGUAAACUGCUUUUGUACGGAACGAAACGGUGAGCUCUAAUACAGUUUGCUAAUGACGGUACCGUAAGAAUAAGCACCGGCUAACUCCGUG